RNAcentral lists this ribosomal RNA (253 nucleotides) under uncultured bacterium. Its description in RNAcentral is "partial 16S ribosomal RNA". It matches the Rfam family "Bacterial small subunit ribosomal RNA", at positions 524 to 776 of the family's 1533-position model. The record is from RNAcentral.
UACGUAGGGGGCAAGCGUUGUCCGGAAUCAUUGGGCGUAAAGAGCGUGUAGGCGGUUCAGUAAGUCUGCUGUGAAAGUCCAGGGCUCAACCCUGGGAUGCCGGUGGAUACUACUGGGCUAGAGUCCGGAAGAGGCGAGUGGAAUUCCUGGUGUAGCGGUGAAAUGCGCAGAUAUCAGGAGGAACACCGAUGGCGAAGGCAGCUCGCUGGGACGGUACUGACGCUGAGGCGCGAAAGCGUGGGGAGCAAACAGG